This 1498-nucleotide unclassified non-coding RNA is filed under the name Hevea brasiliensis (rubber tree). Lineage: Eukaryota; Viridiplantae; Streptophyta; Magnoliopsida; Malpighiales; Euphorbiaceae. The record is from RNAcentral.
CAUUUUUUUUUUAAUGAGCUUUUUGUCUCGUCUUGGAUCUUCAUUCAAUAGUCACUCUACAUGGAAUGAGGGUCUCAGAGAAUAUAACCUUUGGAGGCCAUAUGGCAAAACUAGAUGCAAUGGACCCCCAGGACACAACCGCAUGUAGCUAGGUAGCACCUGUUUCAUUUACAUGCAUGAAUCAGCGUCGAUUGUGGUACCAGUAAAAUGCCAGGCCCUAGAAAUACAACUUGCGGAGGUUGUAUCUAGUGGCAUAAAGCUAAAUGAUUGAUGGUCUUUUUUGGGGUCAGCUAGUGCAACUUGAAACUAAAACUGCCCCAUUAAUGAGAAUGGAUAAGACCAUCGAAAACCAUGGUUAAAACCGUGUGAAUUGAUGGAUACCAACUGGCUUGAUCGGAAAUUGGACACUAUACGCUCCAAUUUGAUAUUUAACUUUUGCAUCAGCUUGUUUCAGAAGUCCACUUCCUUAUUUAGUUCUUUCUCGCUUCCACUUCCGCAAUUCAUAUUUUGGCUCAUUUCUUGGAGUUCAAUGGCAACCCCAACUGCUACUCCAGAGGAAUCCUCAGCUCUAGAGCUUAUUAGACAGCAUCUUUUUGGAGACUUCGCUUCCACUGACGUCUUUUUCAAUAAUCUUGAUUUCCAUAUCUCCACUCCCUCCCACUUUCUACAACCCAUCAAACUCGAGAACCACGAUUCUCUAUCCGCCUCAGAAUCCAACUCCCCUGUAUCUGUCCCCAUUCAAUCUACCCAUGAAACCUGCAAUUUCCAACCAAAAACUGAGCUCGUCGACUUAAAAUCUCCGGAGCCUCCUGGUUUGGUUAACCAUUCUCCACCACCAGAACCCAUGUCGGACCUCAAGCCCAUUGAUGAAGAAGAGAAGAGGCAGUACAGAGGUGUACGAAGAAGGCCUUGGGGCAAGUUUGCAGCGGAGAUCCGUGACCCGAACCGGAAGGGUACUCGGGUUUGGUUAGGGACCUUUGAUAGUGAUGUUGAUGCUGCAAAAGCUUAUGACUCUGCUGCAUUCAGAUUGAGGGGAAGAAAAGCCAUCCUGAAUUUUCCUUUGGAGGCUGGACUGGCUGAUCCGCCAGAGCAAACCGGCCGGAAGAGAAGGAAACUGAAGAGAGCGGAAGUGGCGACGGAUUCUGGUGAAUUGUCAUCGGCGAAUUGGAAUUUGGAUUGCGUUGAAGGGGAGGGAAUAUCUUAUGAGGAGCAACUGUCACCGUUAUCAGGAAAACCGGUUUUGCUAACGUGUUAAUACAUGAUUGGCUAAAGUUCAGCACUCGCCCCACGGUGAAGUACCUUGAGUUCCCUGGCUUGUGCACUGAUGCACACCAGUGCAAAAUGUACGAAGGAAUAUGUGAAUUAUUAGUUUCGAUGUUUGGGUGUUUACUCGAUAACGUAGAAGUUUGUGAAAUAUGAAUAACUCAUUUUAGUGUCAAUAUCUCCACUUUUAAGAAUUGGAUUAAUUUCUAUUUUGUUAACAGGAAAUUGGAGAAUG